RNAcentral lists this unclassified non-coding RNA (328 nucleotides) under soil metagenome. RNAcentral's name for it is "partial contains 5.8S ribosomal RNA, internal transcribed spacer 2, and large subunit ribosomal RNA". The stretch from base 1 to 120 matches the Rfam family "5.8S ribosomal RNA", at positions 35 to 154 of the family's 154-position model. The record is from RNAcentral.
GAUGAAGAACGUAGCGAAAUGCGAUAAGUAGUGUGAAUUGCAGAAUUCAGUGAAUCAUCGAAUCUUUGAACGCACAUUGCGCCCCUUGGUAUCCCGAGGGGCAUGCCUGUUCGAGCGUCAUUUCACCACUCAAGCCUGGCUUGGUGUUGGGCGACGUCCCCUUUGGGGACGCGCCUCGAAACGCUCGGCGGCGUGGCACCGGCUUUAAGCGUAGCAGAAUCUUUCGCUUUGGAAGUCGGGGCCCCGUCUGCCGGAAGACCUACUCGCAAGGUUGACCUCGGAUCAGGCAGGGAUACCCGCUGAACUUAAGCAUAUAAUAAGCGGAGGA